RNAcentral lists this ribosomal RNA (987 nucleotides) under metagenome. RNAcentral's name for it is "bacterial LSU rRNA". It matches the Rfam family "Bacterial large subunit ribosomal RNA", at positions 1955 to 2925 of the family's 2925-position model. The record is from RNAcentral.
GGUAGCGAAAUUCCUUGUCGGGUAAGUUCCGACCUGCACGAAUGGCGUAACGAUCUCCGCGCUGUCUCGGCCAGAGACUCAGUGAAAUUGAAAUCUCGGUGAAGAUGCCGAGUACCCGCAGCAAGACGGAAAGACCCUGUGCACCUUUACUACAGCUUGACAUUGGACUUUGGGCUAUCAUGUGUAGGAUAGGUGGGAGGCUGUGAAGCCGGUACGCCAGUAUCGGUGGAGCCGUCCUUGAAAUACCACCCUUGGUAGUCUAGGGUUCUAACCCAGAGCCGUGAAUCCGGUCUGGGGACAGUGUCUGGUGGGUAGUUUGACUGGGGCGGUCGCCUCCCAAAGAGUAACGGAGGCGUGCAAAGGUUCCCUCAGGCUGAUUGGAAACCAGCCGUUGAGUGCAAAGGCAUAAGGGAGCUUGACUGUGAGAGAGACAUCUCGAGCAGGGACGAAAGUCGGCCUUAGUGAUCCGGUGGUUCCGCAUGGAAGGGCCAUCGCUCAUCGGAUAAAAGGUACGCCGGGGAUAACAGGCUGAUCGCGUCCAAGAGUUCACAUCGACGACGCGGUUUGGCACCUCGAUGUCGGCUCAUCACAUCCUGGGGCUGGAGCAGGUCCCAAGGGUACGGCUGUUCGCCGUUUAAAGUGGUACGCGAGCUGGGUUUAAAACGUCGUGAGACAGUUUGGUCCCUAUCUGCUGUGGGCGUAGGAGACUUGAGAGGGCCUGCCCCUAGUACGAGAGGACCGGGGUGGACGAUCCUCUGGUGGACCUGUUGUCGCGCCAGCGGCACAGCAGGGUAGCUAUGAUCGGAAGGGAUAACCGCUGAAGGCAUCUAAGCGGGAAGCCUGCCUCAAGAUAAGGUCUCCCUCUGAGCACCUAAAUCAGGUGCUUGGCUGAAGGACCCUGGAAGACGACCAGGUAGAUAGGCCGGAAGUGUAAGUGCAGUGAUGCAUUUAGCUGACCGGUACUAAUAGUCCGUGAGUCUUAACCCU